GGGAGAUGACCUCAUUAACACUGAGUGACGGUGAAUGUCCCGACUUUCUACUAGGUUUCUGACGCUAACCCGGAGGUGAAUGAAAAGAGUACUUUGUUAUCACCUAGUGGGUGUGGAAGUCUAGGCUCCCUGUGUGGUCUUCACAGACACUGUGAGAGUAGACCUCACUGUGACCUCACGAAUAUAAAAAUCCAGGUUUCUCCUUGGCCUUCUUUGACAUCACUCUGACAGCACCCAGAGAGCUCUCCGCACCACACUGCUGCUGCUGCUACUGAGGGAGAGGAAGGGGUCACGUCUGAGAUUCAGGAUUGUUUUAUCUGCUUCUUCAGUGCCUGUUUCAGUGAUAUGAAGUUAAAACCAGGUACUGUGAGUGCUCACAGGAUUUUUGGUUCUUAGGAUGCGUUUCCCUGUGUCGAUAGUUGUAUUAAGCCAUCUUGCUCUGC
Molecule: long non-coding RNA, 443 nt
Filed under: Homo sapiens (human)
Lineage: Eukaryota; Metazoa; Chordata; Mammalia; Primates; Hominidae
Description: HSALNT0119214
Source: RNAcentral